This 404-nucleotide ribosomal RNA is filed under the name Actinomycetes bacterium. RNAcentral's name for it is "Actinobacteria bacterium partial 16S ribosomal RNA". It matches the Rfam family "Bacterial small subunit ribosomal RNA", at positions 355 to 776 of the family's 1533-position model. The record is from RNAcentral. Lineage: Bacteria; Bacillati; Actinomycetota; Actinomycetes.
UGGGGAAUAUUGGACAAUGGGCGCAAGCCUGAUCCAGCCAUGCCGCGUGAGUGAUGAAGGCCCUAGGGUUGUAAAGCUCUUUCACCGGUGAAGAUAAUGACGGUAACCGGAGAAGAAGCCCCGGCUAACUUCGUGCCAGCAGCCGCGGUAAUACGAAGGGGGCUAGCGUUGUUCGGAUUUACUGGGCGUAAAGCGCACGUAGGCGGACUAUUAAGUCAGGGGUGAAAUCCCGGGGCUCAACCCCGGAACUGCCUUUGAUAAUGGUAGUCUUGAGUUCGAGAGAGGUGAGUGGAAUUCCGAGUGUAGAGGUGAAAUUCGUAGAUAUUCGGAGGAACACCAGUGGCGAAGGCGGCUCAAUGGCCCGAUACUGAAGCUGAGGUGCGAAAGCGUGGGGAGCAAACAGG